AGGUGUCAUGUGCUCUCCUCAUUGUACUCUGCCUCUUUCUGGCAGGGGCAGGGUGGGGGGCAGAUUUCUGCUUUCAGCAAUACCACUGUAUCACUGUACAUGUUACUCAGAUGGACCAGUUCAAAGGAGUUCCAUAUGAUGAUAAUUGCUGGUAUCUUCAGGUAGGAUGAAGCUGAAGGAAUUUAAUUCUUUCUAGGGCUAUAAUGUUAAGCCUAGUCUUUACAAAAUUGCUGCCUAUAAUAGUUCUCCAACAACAAAUUGAAAGAAGAGGAACAGUUAUCACACAUCAGGUGGGUUUGUAGCUCCUGCCACAACUCAGUCUGACUUUCUCUUCUACCCUGUUUCCAAAGUAAACCUGUCAGCUUUGCCUCUCUUCAUUUCUCCCAUUGUUAACCCUCCUCCCAGACCUGCCCCAAUAAUGCAGGAGAAGUUUCAGGGUUAAUAUUUUUUCCUUCUUUCUUUUGUAGUAACCAGAAUUCUGGAGUCUCUCCAAGUCUCUUGACAGGCUAAUAUUGUGUCUUAGUCCUAUUUCACCCACCUUUCCAAUCAACUGUUCUCUUGAUGCUUUUGUCCCAGAUGGUAGAGAAGCUGAGAUAUACAGUCUACCUGUACUCCACCAUCUUGAUUUCCCUGCCUUUCAUUUCUUUUUCUUGCCUAAUUGCUUGGGAUAAAACUGCCAGUACACUAUUGAAUAGAAGUGGUGAAAGUGGGCAUUCUUGUUUGUUCCUGACCAGAGUGGGAAAGGUUUCAUCUUUUACCAGUACGUAUAAUGGGCUUUGAAGCUCUCUCUAGCUUUUUCUCCACUGAUAACUUUAGUGUGCCUUUUGCUCAACUCCCAACCCCAGGCUUGCUCACAAAACCUGGCUAGUCUAACAAGCCUGAUUUUUUUCCCUUUUCAUUACAUGCUCUUGUUUAUUUUUGUCUGUGCACCCAUUGCUUGUAAAGUCAAAGAGAAUAUCCCAUUUCCUCCAACAAUCUAGCUCAUAUACUUCCUCAGGAUAAAACUCCCAGCAUAUUGCAGCACUGCCUCCCCAAUGGACAGAAGUGGACACAUACACAUGAGGACACACUUAGCAUGUGUGUAACAUUCUGUAUCAUUUGAUUCCUUUGCUACCCAUUUCCUGGAUACUUGAAGCUAAUUUAUAUUUUAUUUCAGCUAAUCCAGAUCAUUUCAAUUUGUAAAUUUUCUUUCCUCAUUUUUUUUAUCUUUGUCUUGGCUGCGCCUACUACACUGUAAGUUUCUCCAGAGCUAGGACCAGGAACCCUGUAUUUUAAUUUCACCACCCGACAGGACUCAAUUCAAAGGCUUACAGAAACAGAAAGGCUUAAUAAAAGUUGAUUGACUUCAUUCACUUUUUGUUCUCCCAGGAAUAUUGCUUCUUUGUGAGCCACAGUGAAAAUCAGAGGACUACCUAGAUGCCACUUAGACCUCCAUCAGUGGCCCAUGUCCAUUUCCAAACCAUUUCUUUUCUUUUUCCUGUGUUGGCUAAGUUUCAGGAGGGAGAUAAUUGGCUCCAUCAAUUUUUAUAGCUUAAUGAAAGUCUCAGCCAUGUUUACCUGCUUUCCUUCCAGGGUAAAUGCACCACAAGUCAAGUCAAAGUAAUUCCCACAGCCCUUGUUUAGAAAAUGUAUGAUUUUUAUAUUGUCCCCAUUAAAACAAUAUGGUCCACUAGCUAUAACCUCAAACAUAACCUUCUUUAAAAAUAAGUGCCUCUCAGUGUAAAAUAUUAAUUCUUAAGGCCAGGCCCAUUCUGGGGUUUGAGGGUGUGUAACAAAAGUCCUGGGUUACUAAGUGUAAUGCCUAAUAUUGCUUUUUUCCUGUGGCAUUUGCUUGUUUUUUGUUCUUUACUGCAACUAAAAUAUUGAAAUCUCCCUGUUUCACCCCACUAACCAUAGCAAAUACCAUAGAGUGAAAAUCCUUUAUAAAAAGCAAACCACAAAUAACAGUGUAGGGUUUGGUCUUGCUUCCUUAACCACUAAAAAGGAAGGCCACAUACCAAAUGGUCUUUAUCAGGCAUUUGCUGAGCACAUGGCCUGUUUAAAGUACAGGGUUAUGGGUAAGCAAAUACAUAGUUGCUGCUGUAGGGGAAUUUAUAGUUUUACUGGGGUGAUAAAACUAAUGUACUUCAGAGAACUACUAAGUCAGAGGUAGUGGGUGAUAAUUGCUAAAACAAGGGUAGAAGAGCAUAUGGUUGGUGUGAAUUGGAGUCAAGGAAGGCAUCUGAGAGAAGAUUGACUUGGAAAAGAAUUUGAUGGACAGAGGAGUGAAAGGGAUAUGCAGAAUCUAGGUUGUCAAUAUAAUGAGGCCAGACUGAUAGUGUUGAAGAUCCAUACAAGGAACCAUUUGGAUAUAAUGUUAAAGUAGGAUAAGUGUAGGGUGUGUCUUGAAUGGAUGGAAUCACAUGCUGUGUGUGGUGGCACACUCUCGUAAUCCCAGCAGCUCCAGAGGCUGAGAUAGGAAGAUCACAAGUUCAAAGCCAGCCUCAGCAACUUAAUGAGGGCUUAAGCAAUUUAGCAAGACCCUUUCUCUAAAUAAAAUAUAAAAAGGGACUAGUGAUGUGGCUCAGUGAUUAAGCACCCUUGGGUUAAAUCCUUGAUGCCCUCCAAAAGAAGCACAGAACAUUAGAGAUAGAAAGGCAUUACUAAUAGUUCAGUGUCUAGUUUUUAUUAAAAUUUUAAUCCAUGGAAUUCUUUCUUCAAAUUGAAUCACAUGUGAAGAAGAUCAAAGCAGACAAAAGUGAGAAUAUUUUUAAAUAUAGUUUGAGAUCAAAAUCAUCUCAAUUCCUACAUUUUAAAAGUGAGUAAACCAAGACCAGGAGUAGAAAAUUAUCUCUAAGUCAUUAAAUCUGGUGGAUACUUUAUCCCCAUCCUGCCUAUUUUCUGAGCAGCAUGCUGCAUUGUUGACUACUUUCUUUUGCUCAACAUGUUCUCUUCCUAUAUCUUAGAUGAUACAACCCUUUAGAUUUUUUUCUCUGGCCUUUCCAUUAAUGUCAUUUGGGUGUUGAUUCUCUUAUGCCUAGACUUUAAAUGCUGCAUUUCUCAGGACUUGAGCCACAGGCCUUUUUACUUGCCUUACAUUGUAAGGAAUUCAAAUAAAAUUUCUAUAUGAUGCUAAUUCUCAAAUUAUAUUUCCAUCUCAAGCCUAUUACUGAUUCUAUUGACAAUGUAUCUUUAUCUGGAUAUACAACAUGUGCCACAUACUCAAAUUACCAAAACUUAUCUCUUUCCUUUGUUCCUUCCUCCAGCCCUUCAUGAUCACCCUUUUUCUAUGUCCUUUCUUAGUGAAUGUCAUCACCCAGUUUCCUCUGCCCUAAAUCAAGGGACUUCUAGUUCUCAAUACCUUUUUUGUCUUCUCCCACAUUCAAUCACCAUGUCCUGUUCAUGUUACCUCCUAAAUAUCCCUUGAAUCUCUCCAUUCUUCUUUAUUUCUACUGCUGCUCCAGGCACUACCUUUUCUCUGUUAUCGACUGCAAUAACCUCCUGAUUUGUCUCACUGCUUCCAUUCUUUCCUUCUACACAAACUAGUUUUCUACAUUGCAGCCACAGUGAUUUCUUUUAGUAUUUUAGUUGUCAAUGGAUCUUUAUUGUAUUUAUUUAUAUGUGGUGCUGAGGAUUGAACACAGUGCCUCACAUAUGCUAGUCAAGUGCUCUACCACUGAGUCACAAACCAGCCCCAAAAGUGAUUUUUUAAAAAUACUUAUUUUUUAGUUUUAGGUAGACAAAAUAUCUUUAUUUGAUUUUUAUGUGGUGCUGAGGAUAAAACCCAGUGCCCCAUGCAUGGUAGGCGAGUACUCUAUUACUGAGCCACAACCCAGCCUCUGUCAGUGAUUUUUAAGGGAUCAAUUUUGAUCAUAUCCUUUCACUGCUCGAAAGCCUUCAACAACUCCCCAUUGUCAAAGGAUAAUGUCUAAAUAUAUUUUUAUAACUUUAUUUUUUUAAUUAUGUGAUGCUGAGGAUUGAACCCAGUGCCUCACAUGUGCUAGGCAAAUGCUCUACCACUGAGCCACAAUGCCAACAUCUAAAUAUCUUAACAUGUCUAAGAAAACCACUCAUAACUUGACAUCUUUCUGUUUAUCAGCCCCCAUUUUUCUAAACCACCUCUCCUUUGUAUUGAUACUCCAAAUGUAAUGAAAUUGGUUCAGUUCCCAAAAUGUGCCACACUUGCAGCCUGGAUACUGCCAGGAUUGCUCAUCCCACUGGGUCUCAGCUGAAAUUUUACCACCUGUGAGAAGACUUUCUAACUCCAUUCUCACUUACAAAUCCAGGAUAAAUGCCUCUCUAUCAUAUAUUCACAGUCACUUGAGAGGUUAACCUCUUGUAGAAUGCAUCAUAAUUAUUACAAUUGCUGCUUUAAUUGUAUGUCUCCCUAAGUUGUUCUUAAGCUCAGUGGGGACUGGGUCCAUAUUAGCUACCACUGAAGUCUUAGUGUGUAACAAGGUGCCUCAAAUAUAGUACAUGUAGUAUUUAGAAUUGUAUAUAUUUGUGAAGCAAAAUUAAUAUUUUAUAUAUAUAUAAAAUAUGUAAUGAUUAAAACAAUCGAAUUAACAUCUUUUAACAUAUCUUCAAAUACUUAUUUUGUGAUAAGAACAUUUGAAAUUUACUUUCAUAGCAAUUUUUAAAUAUAUCAUCCAUUAUUAUCUGCAGUCAACAUACUAUGUGAUAAAUCUCAAAAAAUUAAUUCUUCCUACCUAACUGAAACUUUGAACCUUUUGACCAAUUUCUUUGCAUUCCUCCUUCUCCCCAGCCUCUGAUAACCAACAUUCU
Molecule: long non-coding RNA, 4764 nt
Filed under: Marmota monax (woodchuck)
Lineage: Eukaryota; Metazoa; Chordata; Mammalia; Rodentia; Sciuridae
Source: RNAcentral